CUCCAAGGGCUUUCGCGACUCAAGUUAAAGUUCACAGUCAAACCCACCAUGAUCGCUGGAUGGAUUAGAAAGUAUCAUCUGCUGGUAAAUCGAGAAACAAUAAAUAAAGCUGAUCAAACGGCCGCUUUGCCUUUGUUCGUUCGCCAAAAUAGCGCUUUCUAAUCAUGUGUCACAUGCGGACCGGAUGUAGAACGGAGUCAGCAUCGUAAUUGUCAUCUCGGACUGGACCGAAAACCGGACGUAACUUUUCGUACCGAUGUCGAUCGCUAGUUUGGAUGAUGAAUUAUUUCAGCAAACCAUCAAAAACCAAGCA
Wyeomyia smithii (pitcher-plant mosquito) is the source of this 313-nucleotide long non-coding RNA. RefSeq lists it as uncharacterized. The transcript is spliced from 3 exons. The record is from RefSeq and is a predicted model, not a curated record. NCBI's taxonomy places the organism in Eukaryota, Metazoa, Arthropoda, Insecta, Diptera, Culicidae.